CGGAUAUGUAUGUGCUUUGAGGAAUUCCAGUGUUAAUUGUACUUUUUGGGGACUUUGAGUGAUUCACCACCCUUUGAACAAAUGUAUUUUGAGAUCCUCAAAGGAAUCCUAGAUUUGUCAAGAGAUUCAUUUUGAGGAAAUAGGUGGUGUGCAGUGCACAUUCCUAAAUGAAUUCAUCAGUUUACAUUAAGGAUCUACCUUCAAAUCCUGAAAUAUGGGAUGCUCUAAAGUGCAUGU
Molecule: long non-coding RNA, 237 nt
Organism: Ostrea edulis (European flat oyster)
Lineage: Eukaryota; Metazoa; Mollusca; Bivalvia; Ostreida; Ostreidae
Exons: 3
Source: RefSeq, a predicted model, not a curated record